UCUUUGAACGCAAGUUGCGCCCAAAGCCAUUAGGUUGAGGGCACGCCUGCCUGGGUGUCACAC
This 63-nucleotide ribosomal RNA is filed under the name Strophostyles umbellata. RNAcentral describes it as "partial 5.8S ribosomal RNA". The record is from RNAcentral. Lineage: Eukaryota; Viridiplantae; Streptophyta; Magnoliopsida; Fabales; Fabaceae.